This 253-nucleotide ribosomal RNA is filed under the name uncultured bacterium. RNAcentral describes it as "partial 16S ribosomal RNA". It matches the Rfam family "Bacterial small subunit ribosomal RNA", at positions 524 to 776 of the family's 1533-position model. The record is from RNAcentral.
UACGGGGGGGGCAAGCGUUGUUCGGAAUUACUGGGCGUAAAGGGUUCGUAGGUGGCCAACUAAGCCAGACGUGAAAUCCCUCAGCUUAACUGGGGAACUGCGUCUGGGACUGGAUGGCUUGAGUGCAGGAGAGGAACGCGGAAUUCCAGGUGUAGCGGUGAAAUGCGUAGAUAUCUGGUGGAACACCGGUGGCGAAGGCGGCGUUCUGGACUGCAACUGACACUGAGGAACGAAAGCCAGGGGAGCAAACGGG